RNAcentral lists this ribosomal RNA (497 nucleotides) under uncultured bacterium. RNAcentral's name for it is "partial 16S ribosomal RNA". It matches the Rfam family "Bacterial small subunit ribosomal RNA", at positions 28 to 507 of the family's 1533-position model. The record is from RNAcentral.
GAUGAACGCUGGCGGCGUGCCUAAUACAUGCAAGUCGAGCGAACAGACGAGGAGCUUGCUCCUCUGACGUUAGCGGCGGACGGGUGAGUAACACGUGGAUAACCUACCUAUAAGACUGGGAUAACUUCGGGAAACCGGAGCUAAUACCGGAUAAUAUAUUGAACCGCAUGGUUCAAUAGUGAAAGACGGUUUUGCUGUCACUUAUAGAUGGAUCCGCGCCGCAUUAGCUAGUUGUUAAGGUAACGGCUUACCAAGGCAACGAUGCGUAGACGACCUGAGAGGGUGAUAGGCCACACUGGAACUGAGCCACGGUCCAGAGUCCUACGGGAGGCAGCAGUAGGGAAUCGGCCGCAAUGGGCGAAAGCCUGACGGAGCAACGCCGCGUGAGUGAUGAAGGUCUUCGGAUCGUAAAACUCUGUUAUUAGGGAAGAACAAAUGUGUAAGUAACUAUGCACGUCUUGACGGUACCUAAUCAGAAAGCCACGGCUAACUACGUG